Molecule: transfer RNA, 75 nt
Filed under: Eubacterium sp.
Lineage: Bacteria; Bacillati; Bacillota; Clostridia; Eubacteriales; Eubacteriaceae
Also listed under: 1 other name
Description: tRNA-Pro
Rfam family: tRNA
About the family: Transfer RNA (tRNA) molecules are approximately 80 nucleotides in length.
Source: RNAcentral
CGGGGCAUGGCUCAGUUUGGCUAGAGCGCACGCUUAGGGAGUGUGAGGUCGCAAGUUCAAAUCUUGUUGCCCCGA